UAUGACUUUAUUGUUAUUGUUUCAAAUAUACACAAUAGGAAUUUUAAUGAAUAUUAUAUUCGUUACGACAGUGAUGUAUUGUUAUUCGUUGCAAUUAUUGAUUAUACGUAUUGAACACCUUAAUGAGAAGAUUGAUGGCAUAACAUUAACCAGAAACAAGGAAAGAAAUUUUAGAAUGCUCCGGCCUAUUAUCAUGUAUCAUCAAGAUAUAUUCAGGAUGUUUCAAUUCAGUAAUGAUGUCUACACCAACUUAAUUGUGCCUCAAAAACUGUUUGCUUUAUGUAUUUUAACUCUGUCUACUACAUCUUUUUUUAUGGGAAAAGAUAUAGCAAGUUUAGCCAGCGCAAUAGCAACUUGGUUUGGA
This is a non-coding RNA of Onthophagus taurus, 364 nucleotides long. NCBI's taxonomy places the organism in Eukaryota, Metazoa, Arthropoda, Insecta, Coleoptera, Scarabaeidae. The record is from RefSeq and is a predicted model, not a curated record.